RNAcentral lists this long non-coding RNA (239 nucleotides) under Jatropha curcas. RNAcentral's name for it is "long non-coding RNA (JCUR_LNC002282)". Lineage: Eukaryota; Viridiplantae; Streptophyta; Magnoliopsida; Malpighiales; Euphorbiaceae. The record is from RNAcentral.
UGCUCGUCAGUGUGCUCGGGCUGUGGUCCUGCGCUAGCUGUAGAAGCGUGAGCUGCUGAGCCGUAGUAAAACUGUGAUGCCUGAGACCCGAUGCCGUAUACCUUCCUCUUCUUCUCGCCCCCUACAGCCUCGAGAUAAAGCGCUACCUCGUCAAUUCUUGACUCAGCUUCAGAUUCAUCGGUCUGAGAAGUAACAAUACGCUCCCGAGCUGUAGUAUAGUUCUCCUGAAAACAAAAAAU